Molecule: unclassified non-coding RNA, 228 nt
Filed under: uncultured fungus
Lineage: Eukaryota; Fungi
Description: sequence contains ITS1, 5.8S rRNA gene
Rfam family: 5.8S ribosomal RNA (bases 180-228)
Source: RNAcentral
UCUCCGUAGGUGAACCUGCGGAGGGAUCAUUACUGAGUGAGGGCUUCGGUCCGACCUCCAACCCCAUGUGAACCGAAACCUGUUGCUUCGGGGGCGACCCUGCCGUCCGCGGCUGAGCGCCCCCGGAGCCCAUCAAACCCUGCGUAACUAAGUCGUCGGAGUUUAAACAAAUUAAACAAAACUUUCAACAACGGAUCUCUUGGUUCGGGCAUCGAUGAAGAACGCAGC